RNAcentral lists this ribosomal RNA (253 nucleotides) under uncultured bacterium. Its description in RNAcentral is "partial 16S ribosomal RNA". It matches the Rfam family "Bacterial small subunit ribosomal RNA", at positions 524 to 776 of the family's 1533-position model. The record is from RNAcentral.
UACGAAGGGGGCUAGCGUUGCUCGGAAUUACUGGGCGUAAAGGGCGCGUAGGCGGAUGUUUAAGUCGGGGGUGAAAUCCCGCGGCUCAACCGCGGUCGGUCGUUGGAAACUGCCUGGCUAGAGUCCGGAAGAGGAGAGUGGAAUUCCUGGUGUAGCGGUGGAAUGCGCAGAUAUCAGGAGGAACACCCGUGGCGAAGGCGGCUCUCUGGGACGGUACUGACGCUGAGACGCGAAAGCGUGGGGAGCGAACAGG